GUUACCCUGUUAAUCGAAGAAGU
RNAcentral lists this microRNA (23 nucleotides) under Lottia gigantea (owl limpet). RNAcentral describes it as "lgi-miR-1991". The record is from miRBase by way of RNAcentral. Lineage: Eukaryota; Metazoa; Mollusca; Gastropoda; Lottiidae.